Molecule: long non-coding RNA, 303 nt
Filed under: Bos mutus (wild yak)
Lineage: Eukaryota; Metazoa; Chordata; Mammalia; Artiodactyla; Bovidae
Description: lncRNA (ENSBMUG00000020658.1)
Source: RNAcentral
GCAUCCAGGCACGUGAGGGCCACCCCCUUCUGCUUCACUUUGUUCUGUGAAAGACGUCACGAGGACUGACUUCUAAGACGACUGGUGUAUUUUUACCUGUUGUAACUGCAUCCUCUCUGGUUUUCCUGGAAGAAGAGAGAGAUCUCAGGGCCUUGGAGCCGGCCAGCAGAGUGAGUUGCCCAGUUAACCACAGUGAUUCUCUGACAAGAGAGAAGAUGGACAGACACACCUAGAUUCUGAUCCUCUCUUAGCUGGUAAGACGCUGAUCUCCCGAAACAAAGUCUAUUCGUCUCGUGAAUAUUA